GCCCGGGUGGCUCAGUUGGUUGAGCGUCCGACUUGGGCUCAGGUCAUGAUCUCACUGUUUGUGGGUCUGAGUCCCAUGUCGGGCU
RNAcentral lists this transfer RNA (85 nucleotides) under Felis catus (domestic cat). It matches the Rfam family "tRNA". From Rfam's summary of the family: Transfer RNA (tRNA) molecules are approximately 80 nucleotides in length. Lineage: Eukaryota; Metazoa; Chordata; Mammalia; Carnivora; Felidae. The record is from Rfam by way of RNAcentral.